Molecule: ribosomal RNA, 743 nt
Filed under: Microbacterium sp. C8TB9
Lineage: Bacteria; Bacillati; Actinomycetota; Actinomycetes; Micrococcales; Microbacteriaceae
Description: bacterial SSU rRNA
Rfam family: Bacterial small subunit ribosomal RNA
Source: RNAcentral
AGGAGCGAAAGGGUGGGGAGCAAACAGGCUUAGAUACCCUGGUAGUCCACCCCGUAAACGUUGGGAACUAGUUGUGGGGUCCAUUCCACGGAUUCCGUGACGCAGCUAACGCAUUAAGUUCCCCGCCUGGGGAGUACGGCCGCAAGGCUAAAACUCAAAGGAAUUGACGGGGACCCGCACAAGCGGCGGAGCAUGCGGAUUAAUUCGAUGCAACGCGAAGAACCUUACCAAGGCUUGACAUAUACGAGAACGCUGCAGAAAUGUAGAACUCUUUGGACACUCGUAAACAGGUGGUGCAUGGUUGUCGUCAGCUCGUGUCGUGAGAUGUUGGGUUAAGUCCCGCAACGAGCGCAACCCUCGUUCUAUGUUGCCAGCACGUAAUGGUGGGAACUCAUGGGAUACUGCCGGGGUCAACUCGGAGGAAGGUGGGGAUGACGUCAAAUCAUCAUGCCCCUUAUGUCUUGGGCUUCACGCAUGCUACAAUGGCCGGUACAAAGGGCUGCAAUACCGUGAGGUGGAGCGAAUCCCAAAAAGCCGGUCCCAGUUCGGAUUGAGGUCUGCAACUCGACCUCAUGAAGUCGGAGUCGCUAGUAAUCGCAGAUCAGCAACGCUGCGGUGAAUACGUUCCCGGGUCUUGUACACACCGCCCGUCAAGUCAUGAAAGUCGGUAACACCUGAAGCCGGUGGCCCAACCCUUGUGGAGGGAGCCGUCGAAGGUGGGAUCGGUAAUUAGGACUAAGUCG